This 2366-nucleotide long non-coding RNA is filed under the name Nicotiana benthamiana. RNAcentral's name for it is "long non-coding RNA (NBEN_LNC042357)". The record is from RNAcentral. Lineage: Eukaryota; Viridiplantae; Streptophyta; Magnoliopsida; Solanales; Solanaceae.
UUCAUUCUCUGAACAUGGGAGUUCUUCACGGGCCAGUUGGCUUAAAAUAAAAUUGCAGAAACCAGUCAUGCAGCUAUUGCAUUUGUACGAGCUUCUGCUUGUCUUUCAAAGGUCCUCCCUCUCUUGUUACAAUGUGUAGCUGUAAUAACAAAAUAUCAUAGGUGGUUCUUAAAAAGGGAAGGAGAAGGUCUAGCAUGCCCGAUGAACUAGUUUCUUGAAAGCAUCAAGGACAAAUUUUGGUACCUUGCAGCUUGUUGAGCUUUCAAUAUAAAUAAGCUCUCAAUGUUGAGUGAUGUCACUGCCCCCACUCACCUUUACUAGAAUCUGAUGUCUGCAAUCAAUUUUCUACAAAUCAAUCAAGGUAAAUAAUGUUGAAGCAACACAAAUCAUUAACUUAAAGUUUAAGUCAAAAAGAAUUGUUGCUUCUCUACAAGACUGAUAACUCGGGAAUUGAGUUGAAGAUGGUCUUCCGUUGUAGCUAAUGAGAGCUUCGUAAAUAACUUUUAAGACCAUGAGACAUAUAAAGAAGCUGAUAUGAUACAUACAAUGAUUUCACAAAAAUUAUCUAAGAAGAAAAUAAGAUUUUAUUGUUAGUUUAACUAUAAUAACUAGUGGCAUUCAUAAACAAAUUGAUUAUUGACGAUUACUGUACACGAUGCAUAAAUAGAGACAAUAGUUUGUGAAGUUAUAUUGUAAAGAAACUAGUUGUUAAAAUCUACUAUUAUGCAAAGAUUUAUCACUUAAUGGAGAAGGCAAAAAUAGUUAAAUAAAUUAAUUGCAUAACAUCCACCUCUUUUAUUAUCUACGGCAAAUUAUAUUGGUCAUUAGUCAUUUGACAUAGUCGUACUCAUUAAUUAAAUUCAUAUCCCUAGUUCAAACUGUAAUAAAUCUCAACUAUAUCUGUAUGACUAAGCCAGGUUGGGAACAUAUCGCUAAAUAAGUAUGCCUAUCUCAUGCUUGACUAACCCCGACAUGUACAUAUACUAGUAUUCAGAACCAUCGCGAGAAGCACUUCACCUAAAAUCAUCAACUUUUCUAUCAGAUUUUAUAGUUAAAAGCCACAAAAUUCUCCAACAUGUCAACUCAGAAUUCAGGAAAAGCUGCAUAAUCAUACGUAAGGGACACAAUUAUCUUUAUUCUCAUUACAAUUAUCAGAUAUAUCGAUUCAAAUCAGAUCUAAGUUCUAACAUAAUGCAAAAAAAUUAACCAAACAUUGAAACUGCUGGACUUACAAAUUAAAAGGACGAACUUUGGACUUUGUAGAAAAAGAAAUAAAAGAACUAAAGAUCCAUCAUGCCAUCUGCAAGAUAAAAAUAAAGAGCUUAUGCUUUAUGAAUUACAUACGGACAACAUCAAAUAUGGAUGUCCACCAAAAAAUAGAAAAAUGAAAAGGUGCUUCCUCUAAACUUUUGAAUAUAAAUGAUUUCAUAUAAAAGGACAAACAAUACAAAAUAUCAUAGCACAAUAUUAUUUUUGGUAGAAAACCUUCAAAUGUUAUUACUUCAGAAGCAAUCAGCAAAUUUAACAGGGGAAGGAUCAUGAAUUUGAUGAACCUAAGGAGAAUUAGACAGUUAAAAGGAUUUUUAUUGAUCAAAAAUAGGUACAAUAGUGUAGUAACAACUUAUAAAUAUCAUGUCAGUCAUAUAUCCCGCUUCUUAAUACAAUAUCUCUCAAUCAAUCAAGAAUGCGUUAAACUGGAUCAAUUCACUUUUAUCUUCUGUGACAUUUUAUCGAACACCAAACAAGCUGCUUGAAUUUUUCCUCUAGAAGCAAAUACAACCAGUGAUAUAGUAAUAAACAAAUGAAUCAUAAUCAAAUCAAUUCUCCUAUCAUUUUAUCAAAGUACUUUAUUAUCUUGUAAUUUUCCAAUACAACUAGACUUCUAUAUACACAUAAAGAAAAAAAUUUACUUCGUAGAUGAAAUACGAAAUACAACAAAAAUCCUAAGAAUUAUUUUUGGUAUCAAGAAUUAGUGUAAUGGUAAAAGUAGAGCAUCACUCAUAUUCAUAAGACGAUAGGUAAUGCAGAUCACUCAAAAUAGAUUAAACAAGAAAUAAAUACUCGAGAAAUAAAAGAAAUAAGAGUAAGAAAUUAUUGCAUACAUGGGAGACCAACGUAGGUUGUAUUACAAGAGUUGUAUCAACUAAAUCCUUAAGUAGUGAUGAUCUCUAUGUUGUUCCUUAAUAAGAGAGGAUCAUAGACAUUUGAACUAUAAGGGAGAGAGUGUGGCGGAGGAGUUAGAGAAGAGAGAAGGAAAGGACAUAUAUGGUUUUCUUGGAUAUAUAGGGUUUUCUUUUGGAGGGAAUAUUAUUUUUAUCUUUCAAGUCUUUUCGUGGAAUAUAAAAAGUAAGAGAUGACUCUUUUUU